Long non-coding RNA from Bombus terrestris (buff-tailed bumblebee), 832 nucleotides. RefSeq lists it as uncharacterized. Lineage: Eukaryota; Metazoa; Arthropoda; Insecta; Hymenoptera; Apidae. The record is from RefSeq and is a predicted model, not a curated record. The transcript is spliced from 3 exons.
GCCAUGUUCCGCACAGCGUGCGUCGCACGGUUUUUGAUCGCACUUGGUUCCAGUCCAAUCGUCGUUGCACCUAAAAAUCACACACCUUUCAGAGACAAGUCAAAAUCGGCUUUUGAAGGCUCAACAUACAAUUCAAGACCAAUGUUCCGUAGGCGUCCUGCACAAUUUCUGAAGAAAAAUGCGCUCAGCUUUAUCGUCCAAAUGCAAAAUUGAUUUCCUCCGCGCGGAACCCUUCAGGAAAGCGGGAAAAAGACACGGAUUCCGGCAAGUUCCGAACUCGUCCUGCCGUGGUGGGAAACUUUUUGCGCUUACGGACGCUCUUUCAUGGGACAAGAGAGGAGAGGGAGACGAGAAAGGCGUCAACUUUAGAAUAUGAGAAAGGAGAUCUUCUUUCGUGUCCUUGAUUCUGACAAAGGAACGUCGGGAAGGUAUAUUUUAAGUAAAGAGUAGAUGGAUCUGAAUUAAUCAGACUGUUGUGAAAGUUGGCGUUUCGUGGAACAGGAUCCCGAAGACGGGAAUGUGGGAAUAAAGAAAAUAGCUUGAUCGGAGGAAGAAAGAAAUAUUGUAAUCUCGAUUAAGGUUCUAUGUAAAAAAAUAAAAUAACGUAGCAAGUUGCUAAAAUUCUGUUAUAUAAAUUAAUGAACGAAAGAUCAGCAACGUUUAUAAUAUUCAUUUUCCAUGCAAACAUUAACUCACGUAAACUCAUUUAAAAUUCUAUUUCUAAGAAUUAGAAAUUACCUAGGAAUGAUUUUAAUAUGAGCCCUCUAACCCUCGCAAAAUUCCCCUUGCCAAAUACCCGAAAAGUUACACGAUAUGUAACCGAAAUCGCGAU